RNAcentral lists this small RNA (111 nucleotides) under Lacticaseibacillus paracasei. RNAcentral's name for it is "Lactobacillus paracasei L20_leader". It matches the Rfam family "Ribosomal protein L20 leader". Rfam says of the family: This family is a putative r-protein leader autoregulatory structure found in B. subtilis and other low-GC Gram-positive bacteria. It is located in the 5' untranslated regions of mRNAs encoding initiation factor 3 followed by ribosomal proteins L35 and L20 (infC-rpmI-rplT). Lineage: Bacteria; Bacillati; Bacillota; Bacilli; Lactobacillales; Lactobacillaceae. The record is from RNAcentral.
GAGAAAAAGCAGAAGUUCCCGCUUCUCGCCUAAGUCCUUGGACCGCUAGGCUCAUUAGUUCGGUAUUUAAUGAACAGCGGGGUCUUUGUGGCCACGCUGUUUUUGUUUUUU